Molecule: long non-coding RNA, 734 nt
Organism: Lingula anatina
Lineage: Eukaryota; Metazoa; Brachiopoda; Lingulata; Lingulida; Lingulidae
Source: RefSeq, a predicted model, not a curated record
GGGGUAUAAAAUACGGUACAUAGGACAUUAACUGCGUAUUAAAAGAGGAGGCGUGUAGUUCAACAUCUGAAUAAUAGGCCUAAUCCGUUGUACCAAGCAAGAAAACAAGGAUUCAGAAAAAUGUCUGACAAGAAGGGAUAUCAGGGCACUGGAGACAAGCCAGAUCUUGACAACCAUGGUAACCAAUGUAAUCCUAACAACCCGGAGUACCGAGGAUAUACCUCUGGAUACUCUGGGAAGGGAGACAAGCCUGACCUCGAUCACCAUGGCCAACAGUUGAAUCCGAACAACCCCAAGUAUCAGCCUAAGAAGUAGAGGGCAAUGCUGUACAAUCAUGGAACAGUAGUUUAGCAUCUUGGAUUAGAUUUUUAACCAUUCUUGAUUUGUGUGAAAAUCCCUAGAGAACAUGUGAUUUUUGAACGAAGAGACCAUCUUUCAAAUUCUGUUCUAUAAUCCUUGCAAAUGAACUAAAAACAAGAAGGAAUAAGACAGUCAUGUUGACAUUCUGGUGACCAGACCUUGUGUUAUACAAACAACAGUAUCACAUACAACUGUGAAUAAGGAAAAAAUUCUAUUCAUCCUGACAAUAAGUGACUCUUCAGAAGACACGCACUAGACAAAAUAACUGCAAGUUAUACUCUAAAGCAAUAUUUGCAAAAUUUCCAAUACUUUGUUGUAAUCUUUCUAAUAUUUAAGUCAAAUAUUCCUAAUAUUCAAAUAAAGAUCACAGAGUA